UGGUAGGAAUACCCGCUGAACUUAAGCAUAUCAAUAAGCGGAGGAAAAGAAACCAACAGGGAUUGCCUUAGUAACGGCGAGUGAAGCGGCAACAGCUCAAAUUUGAAAUCUGGCCCUUGGGUCCGAAUUGUAAUUUGUAGAGGAUGAUUUUGGUGCGGUAUCUUCCGAGUUCCUUGGAACAGGACGCCUUAGAGGGUGAGAGCCCCGUACGGUUGAAUGCCUAGCCUCUGUAAAUCUCCUUCGACGAGUCGAGUAGUUUGGGAAUGCUGCUCUAAAUGGGAGGUAAAUUUCUUCUAAAGCUAAAUAUUGGCCAGAGACCGAUAGCGCACAAGUAGAGUGAUCGAAAGAUGAAAAGCACUUUGAAAAGAGGGUUAAAUAGCACGUGAAAUUGU
This 392-nucleotide ribosomal RNA is filed under the name Acinetobacter baumannii. RNAcentral describes it as "eukaryotic LSU rRNA". It matches the Rfam family "Eukaryotic large subunit ribosomal RNA", at positions 14 to 408 of the family's 3401-position model. The record is from RNAcentral. Lineage: Bacteria; Pseudomonadati; Pseudomonadota; Gammaproteobacteria; Moraxellales; Moraxellaceae.